UACCCGCAGCCCAAGUGGUGGUCGCGAUUAUUGGGCCUAAAGCGCUCGUAGCCGGGCCUGUAAGUCCCUUGUGAAAUCGGGCGGCCUAACCGUUCGGCGUGCAAGGGAAACUGCAGGUCUUGAGGCCGGAAGACGCCGAGGGUACUCUGGGGGUAGCGGUGAAAUGCUGUAAUCCUCGGGGGACCACCAGUGGCGAAGGCGUUCGGCGAGAACGGACCUGACGGUGAGGGGCGAAGGCUAGGGGA
Molecule: ribosomal RNA, 245 nt
Filed under: uncultured archaeon
Lineage: Archaea
Description: partial 16S ribosomal RNA
Rfam family: Archaeal small subunit ribosomal RNA
Source: RNAcentral